Molecule: ribosomal RNA, 225 nt
Filed under: uncultured bacterium
Lineage: Bacteria
Description: partial 16S ribosomal RNA
Rfam family: Bacterial small subunit ribosomal RNA
Source: RNAcentral
GAUCCUGGCCCAGGAUGAACGCUAGCCACAGGCUUAACACAUGCAAGUCGAGGGGCAGCAUGGUCUUAGCUUGCUAAGACUGAUGGCGACCGGCGCACGGGUGAGUAACACGUAUCCAACCUGCCGUCUACUCUUGGACAGCCUUCUGAAAGGAAGAUUAAUACAAGAUGGCAUCAUGAGUCCGCAUGCUCAUAUGAUUAAAGGUAUUCCGGUAGACGAUGGGGA